This 489-nucleotide ribosomal RNA is filed under the name uncultured bacterium. Its description in RNAcentral is "partial 16S ribosomal RNA". It matches the Rfam family "Bacterial small subunit ribosomal RNA", at positions 30 to 507 of the family's 1533-position model. The record is from RNAcentral.
AUUGAACGCUGGCGGCAGGCCUAACACAUGCAAGUCGAACGGUAACAGGAAGCAGCUUGCUGCUUCGCUGACGAGUGGCGGACGGGUGAGUAAUGUCUGGGAAACUGCCUGAUGGAGGGGGAUAACUACUGGAAACGGUAGCUAAUACCGCAUAACGUCGCAAGACCAAAGAGGGGGACCUUAGGGCCUCUGCCAUCGGAUGUGCCCAGAUGGGAUUAGCUAGUAGGUGGGGUAACGGCUCACCUAGGCGACGAUCCCUAGCUGGUCUGAGAGGAUGACCAGCCACACUGGAACUGAGACACGGUCCAGACUCCUACGGGAGGCAGCAGUGGGGAAUAUUGCACAAUGGGCGCAAGCCUGAUGCAGCCAUGCCGCGUGUAUGAAGAAGGCCUUCGGGUUGUAAAGUACUUUCAGCGGGGAGGAAGGGAGUAAAGUUAAUACCUUUGCUCAUUGACGUUACCCGCAGAAGAAGCACCGGCUAACUCCGUG